Myotis brandtii (Brandt's bat) is the source of this 75-nucleotide non-coding RNA. NCBI's taxonomy places the organism in Eukaryota, Metazoa, Chordata, Mammalia, Chiroptera, Vespertilionidae. The record is from Rfam.
GGCAGUUCUCGGUUGACGCAUCCCAGAAUCGGGCUCCCUCCUCUCUGGUUCUGGGUGUAUCUCCCAAGAACCACA